Dama dama (fallow deer) is the source of this 2855-nucleotide long non-coding RNA. RefSeq lists it as uncharacterized. The transcript is spliced from 3 exons. NCBI's taxonomy places the organism in Eukaryota, Metazoa, Chordata, Mammalia, Artiodactyla, Cervidae. The record is from RefSeq and is a predicted model, not a curated record.
GCAAGAAUAUUGGAGUGGGUUGCUAUUUCCUUCUCCAGGGGAUCUUCCUGACCCAGGAAUUGAUCCAGCUUCUCCUGCAUUGCAGGUGGUCUCUUGCAUUGCAAGUGGAUUCUUUACCACUAAGCCACCAGGGAAGCCCAGUCACAUAUGUAUAAUAGUUUAAAAUUUUCUAGUAACCACACUAAAAGAAGUAAAAAGAAAUGUGAAAUUAAUUUUAAUAAAUAUAUUGUAUUUAAUAUUGUCAAAUAUUAUCAUUUAAUCAAUAGAAAAUUUAUUAAUGGGAUGUUUUUCCUUUUUUUUAAUGUUAGGUUCAAAAUCUGAUGUGUAUUUCAUACAUCUCAGUUUGUGCCAGCCACAUUUCAAGCACUCAAUAGCCAUAUGUAGCUGGCAGCUCUUGUAUUGGACAGCACAUAUCUAGAAAUACUAUAUAAGCAAAUAUAUAUGAACUUCAAAGUUUUCUGCAGAAAAUUAUUUGAUUUUUCUUCAAGAAAUUUAUGUCUUUACGAAUUUAGUAUCUCUUUUAUAGUAGAUUCCACAAGUGAAAUGAGUGAAUAAUCUGUUCCAGAUACCUCAAACAUUACUGUUUGUCUUAAGUUUCCUCAUCUUUAAAAUGCAGAUAUAAUAGAAGCUGUCCUACUGGAUGUCAUUAAGAUUGAAUGUGUUUAAAAAAAUAUAUGAAAUGUGUAUAAACAUUAAAGCACCUAGAAAAGCACCUGGCAUAUUGUAAACAUGUGGUGGACGUAUUAAUCUGAGGUUAGAUGGUAAUAUCCUGAUAUAGUGGUUGGGGAAGAGCAGAAGAGAGGAGUAUCUUUCUUCUUUGAGACUGCAGGGAUGAAGAAUAAUUGCAGUGAAUGCUAUAGCAUUAAUCUUUGGCUAAGUAGAAUUGUGGCAUCAGUUGAGGUCUGUGGUAAGUUGAAUAUUGUUAAAUUGGUCGAAAUUAAGUCAGUUAUUUUUUAGUAAAGAAGUAAAAAUUUCAUAAGACUGAAAACAUGGCUUUGAUUGUAGAGCAUUACAAUUUUGCUUAACCUUUUUUAGUGAAACAGAGCUUUUUGGAAUAAUGUUUAGUAUAGUUACCAAUAUAAUACAUGUAGGUUAGCAAAAUAUACUGUAUUUGCUAUUUUAUAUAGUAUUAUGACUGUGGCUUCCCUUGUGGCUCAGCUGCUAAAGAAUCCGCCUGCAAUGCGGGAGACCUAAGUUUGAUACCUGGGUUGGGGAGAUCCCUUGGAGAAGGGAAAGGCUAUCCACUCCAGUAUUCUGGCCUGGAGAACUCCAUGGGCUAUAUAGUCCAUGGGGUCGCAAAGAAUCAGACAAGACUAAGCGACUCUAGCUUUAAUGACUUAACUAACAACUGAAUAUUAUUGUGAUCUUCAAGAAGAUACUUAAAGCAGUUCUUUCCAAUUCUUUUUGUUCUUCUGAAGCCUAAUACCCCCCCAGGUCCUUCAUUCUCGACAGUUUCUCCUCCCAUUUCACAGAAUGUGGCACUCCCUCAUUUUCCCAUCCUCACUUAUCAGCUUAUAGUCAUCAUCGCUGAUUCUGACCACCCCCUGCAAGUACAGUGAAAAAGUGUCCUGUUUUCACUGCAGAGGCGGGGGGAAUGCUUCUACCUAUGCUCUUAUUUCAUUACUUUUUAAUCUUCUGUUACUUGUAUAUCAGUUAUUACCUGGUUCUUGUCAUUUCAGCCUAUUUCCACUGUUUUUCCCUGCUAUAUAUGGUUUAAUGAGUUCAACUUUUUUUGUAUCAUUAGGUACAGAUACAUAUGUAAUGAAGAGAGUUGAUUCUUCUUAAUUCCUUUCUCCCUUUUCUUCUGUCUUCUUGAAAGAUCUCUUUAUACUUAUUUUAAUUCUUUCCCUCUCAGUCUGUGUUUUAACAAGCCUUCCGCAUGAUUCUGAUGCACACUGAAGCUUGAGAACCGCUGCCUGCAGUCCAUACUUGUGGAUUAACCAAGAAACUCACUAUUAUUGUUAUAAAUUGGGAGCGUAGGUUAUAGUUUUUAGAGGACUGUUAGUGUAUACUUACAUAGACAGAGUCUAUGGUUGGAUGAGUUGUUCUUUAAACCUGGAAACAGUUAAUUGUUGGUCAAUUAGGAUGAGGUUUGGCUUUUGGCUUUGGAAAACCCGAAAUAGCAGUGGCUUAAAAAAGAGGAUUCUUUCUUUCUUUCUCACUCUCUCUCUCUUUCUCUUUUUUAAUACAAGUAAUCCAGGUUUGGUGACUGCAUGAUUAUCAAAGACUUAAGCUUCUUUACUCUUAUUGUUGCUCUACCACCUUCAACAUUCAGCUUCUACUGUGAUUCAGUUUGGCUACUGUGGCUAUAUGAUCAGCCUUUUCACAUUCUAGUCAGCAUGAAGGAAAAAGAGGAGAGGUCAUAUCUCUUGUUUUUAAAGACACUUCACAAGCAGUUGCCCAAACUUUAAGUCCCAUAGGCCAGAAUUUAGACACUGGUCACACCCAGUUGUAAGGAAGCUUUGGAAAUAAAGUUGUUAUUUCAGACAGCCUUGUGUGAAAAUAUAAUUAAUGAUUUAAAAAAUUGUAUAGCAUUAUGUGGUUUGCAUUUACCAUAAAUGAUUUACCAGUUCCCUAUUGUUAGACAGUUAAGUUGCUUAUAAAAUUUUUGUUGCUAUUUUUGUUGUUCAGUUGCUCCUACUCCUUGCGACCCCAUGUACUGCAGCAUGCCAGGCUUCCCUGUCCUUCACUAUUCCCUGGAGUUUGCUCAGACUCAUGUCCAUUGAGUCGAUGAUGCCAUCCAACCAUCUCAUCCUCUGCUGCUCCCUUUUCCUCCUGCCCUCAAUCUUUCCCAACAUCAGGAUCUUUUUCAGUGAGUUGGCUCUUCGCAUUAGGUGACCAAAGUAUUGAAGCUU